GGAAUCUUCCACAAUGGGCGCAAGCCUGAUGGAGCAACACCGCGUGAGUGAAGAAGGGUUUCGGCUCGUAAAGCUCUGUUGUUAAAGAAGAACACGUAUGAGAGUAACUGUUCAUUCGAUGACGGUAUCUAACCAGCAAGUCACGGCUAACUACGUGCCAG
This 161-nucleotide ribosomal RNA is filed under the name uncultured bacterium. RNAcentral's name for it is "partial 16S rRNA". It matches the Rfam family "Bacterial small subunit ribosomal RNA", at positions 358 to 511 of the family's 1533-position model. The record is from RNAcentral.